CCCGCUGAACUUAAGCAUAUCAAUAAGCGGAGGAAAAGAAACCAACAGGGAUUGCCCUAGUAACGGCGAGUGAAGCGGCAACAGCUCAAAUUUGAAAUCUGGCCUUCGGGUCCGAAUUGUAAUUUGUAGAGGAUGCUUUUGGCGCGGUGCCUUCCGAGUUCCCUGGAACGGGACGCCUUAGAGGGUGAGAGCCCCGUACGGUUGGACACCAAGCCUCUGCAAAGCUCCUUCGACGAGUCGAGUAGUUUGGGAAUGCUGCUCUAAAUGGGAGGUAAAUUUCUUCUAAAGCUAAAUAUUGGCCAGAGACCGAUAGCGCACAAGUAGAGUGAUCGAAAGAUGAAAAGCACUUUGAAAAGAGGGUUAAAUAGCACGUGAAAUUGUUGAAAGGGAAGCGUUUGCGACCAGACCUUUUCCUAGCGGAUCAUCCGGUGUUCUCACCGGUGCACUUCGCUAGGUUGAGGCCAGCAUCGGUUUCUGUAGGGGGAUAAAAGCUUGGGGAAUGUAGCUCCUUCGGGAGUGUUAUAGCCCCUUGCAUAAUACCCUUACGGGGACCGAGGACCGCGCUUCGGCAAGGAUGCUGGCAUAAUGGUCGUCAACGACCCGUCUUGAAACACGG
Molecule: ribosomal RNA, 616 nt
Filed under: uncultured fungus
Lineage: Eukaryota; Fungi
Description: eukaryotic LSU rRNA
Rfam family: Eukaryotic large subunit ribosomal RNA
Source: RNAcentral